Molecule: ribosomal RNA, 406 nt
Filed under: uncultured prokaryote
Also listed under: 1 other name
Description: bacterial SSU rRNA
Rfam family: Bacterial small subunit ribosomal RNA
Source: RNAcentral
UGGGGAAUAUUGCUCAAUGGGGGAAACCCUGACGCAGCAACGCCGCGUGAAGGAUGAAGGUUUUCGGAUUGUAAACUUCUUUGACGAGGGACGAAGAAAUGACGGUACCUCGAAAACAAGCCACGGCUAACUACGUGCCAGCAGCCGCGGUAAUACGUAGGUGGCAAGCGUUGUCCGGAUUUACUGGGUGUAAAGGGCGUGUAGGCGGGCUGUCAAGUCAGAUGUGAAAUCUAUGGGCUUAACCCAUAACGUGCAUUUGAAACUGAUAGUCUUGAGUGAUGGAGAGGCAGGCGGAAUUCCUAGUGUAGCGGUGAAAUGCGUAGAUAUUAGGAGGAACACCAGUGGCGAAGGCGGCCUGCUGGACAUUAACUGACGCUGAGGCGCGAAAGCGUGGGGAGCAAACAGG